This 492-nucleotide ribosomal RNA is filed under the name uncultured bacterium. RNAcentral describes it as "partial 16S ribosomal RNA". It matches the Rfam family "Bacterial small subunit ribosomal RNA", at positions 29 to 507 of the family's 1533-position model. The record is from RNAcentral.
AGUGAACGCUGGCGGUAGGCCUAACACAUGCAAGUCGAACGGCAGCACAGUAAGAGCUUGCUCUUACGGGUGGCGAGUGGCGGACGGGUGAGGAAUACAUCGGAAUCUACUUUUUCGUGGGGGAUAACGUAGGGAAACUUACGCUAAUACCGCAUACGACCUACGGGGGAAAGCAGGGGAUCUUCGGACCUUGCGCGAUUGAAUGAGCCGAUGUCGGAUUAGCUAGUUGGCGGGGCAAAGGCACACCAAGGCGACGAUCCGUAGCUGGUCUGAGAGGAUGAUCAGCCACACUGGAAGUGAGACACGGUCCAGACUCCUACGGGGGGCCACAGUGGGGAAUAUUGGACAAUGGGGGCAAGCCUGAUCCAGCCAUACCGCGUGGGUGAAGAAGGCCUUCGGGUUGUAAAGCCCUUUUGUUGGGAAAGAAAAGCAGCAGGUUAAUACCCCGCUGUUCUGACGGUACCCAAAGAAUAAGCACCGGCUAACUUCGUG